RNAcentral lists this ribosomal RNA (395 nucleotides) under uncultured bacterium. Its description in RNAcentral is "partial 16S ribosomal RNA". It matches the Rfam family "Bacterial small subunit ribosomal RNA", at positions 523 to 918 of the family's 1533-position model. The record is from RNAcentral.
AUACGUAGGUGGCAAGCGUUGUCCGGAAUUACUGGGUGUAAAGGGAGCGUAGGCGGGAAGACAAGUUGAAUGUUUAAACUAUCGGCUUAACCGGUAGUCGCGGUCAAAACUGUUUUUCUUGAGUGAAGUAGAGGUAGGCGGAAUUCCUAGUGGAGCGGGGGAAUGCGUAGAUAUUAGGAGGAACACCAGUGGCGAAGGCGGCCUACUGGGCUUUAACUGACGCUGAUGCUCGAAAGCGUGGGUAGCAAACAGGAUUAGAUACCCUGGUAGUCCACGCUGUAAACGAUGAUUACUAGGUGUGGGGGGACUGACCCCUUCCGUGCCGCAGCUAACGCAAUAAGUAAUCCACCUGGGGAGUACGGCCGCAAGGUUGAAACUCAAAUGAAUUGACGGGG